GUGCUCACUUCGGCAGCACAUAUACUAAAAUUGGAACAAUACAGAGAAGAUUACCAUGGCCCCUGUGCAAGGGUAACAUGCAAAUUCGUGAAGCAUUCCAUAUUUUU
This 107-nucleotide small nuclear RNA is filed under the name Tursiops truncatus (common bottlenose dolphin). Lineage: Eukaryota; Metazoa; Chordata; Mammalia; Artiodactyla; Delphinidae. The record is from RNAcentral. RNAcentral also lists the same sequence under 1 other name.